This 335-nucleotide long non-coding RNA is filed under the name Olea europaea subsp. europaea. The record is from RNAcentral. Lineage: Eukaryota; Viridiplantae; Streptophyta; Magnoliopsida; Lamiales; Oleaceae.
AUUCCAACACAAGAAAUUAGCCCAUGUUAUACAAAUGAAAAAAAAAAGGGAGAGAGAGAGAGAGAAUAUUUAUAACAAUAUAUUACAAAUAUGGCAAAAUAAUAAAGAAAAUACAAAGUUAUAGAUAAAAUCCUUUUUGGCUAGAUUCUUGAAGAUAAUGAUGGCUUGAAUCUUGUGUUCUCCAAAACUUUAUCCUCCUUUCUUGAUGUAUUAUCCUGUUGUUGCUCUGAAAUUCACUCCCAAAAUGCAAAGAAAAAGAAAAAAAAAUCAAAGGAAAAAGAAAAGAAAAAUGAAAGGAAAAAGAAAGAUAAAAAAUGAAGGAAAAAAGAAGCCUA